AAGAAAUCGGGUGAAAUUCCAAGAUGAAAGAAAACUUCAGCAGGAAUUCUUUGACAAACAGAGGUUGAAGGCACUUUCCAGCAAGUCCAGCUCAUUUAAGAAGCAACGUAUGAGCCAAGAUCUUCUGGCACUCCAUACUGUCAGCAGGGCUCACUCUCAGUUUCCCGCAGUGAACACAGCAUCACGACGCCCAAUCAAAAAGCUGGACCUGGAAAAGUUCCAAUCCUGCACAAGAAAGAUCGAUGACGUAGACCUAGGACCAUGCUCCCCCUCAACACCGG
This is a long non-coding RNA of Mya arenaria, 281 nucleotides long. RefSeq lists it as uncharacterized. The record is from RefSeq and is a predicted model, not a curated record. NCBI's taxonomy places the organism in Eukaryota, Metazoa, Mollusca, Bivalvia, Myida, Myidae. The transcript is spliced from 3 exons.